RNAcentral lists this long non-coding RNA (1341 nucleotides) under Heterocephalus glaber (naked mole-rat). RNAcentral describes it as "lncRNA (ENSHGLG00100041947.1)". Lineage: Eukaryota; Metazoa; Chordata; Mammalia; Rodentia; Bathyergidae. The record is from RNAcentral.
GAAAGACAUAGAGCCAGAUUUCUGAUGUUCUUAUAGAAGAAGACUCUCCUUCCAAACAAAAACCAACUUCCAUUUCAUCCUCCCUUCCUGCAAGCCAAAGAUAUCAACUUGAAUGAUGAGAAACUGGAGCUAAGAAACAUGAAGAAAUUUGCUCAGGGUCCUGUAACUAUCAAAGAGGAGCCGGUAUUAGUCAAGGUCCACCGACUUCAGAACCUGUGUUCUUCCACCCUGUGGCGAAGCCCUCACAUUGACAGUGACAGCUCUGGAUCAUCAAAAGAAGACCGACUUAUAACUGUUUAAGAAGCCAGGAAAAUUGCACAGGUUAAACUGUUGGGAAAAAAUGUACUUAAAUGGCAAGCAUCUAGCUGGAAAACAGCUUUCCAGAAUGACCAGAUAAAUAACAACAAGGAACUGCUAAAUAAUUAAAAUCCUUACAAACCUUUCCCAGCUUUAUCUUUUUGGUACCCAGGAUCAAACUCUUGCACUUGCAAGGCAAGCGGCAGAACCAGUGAGCUAAAUCCUCGGCCCCCCACCUUUAUCUUGACAUUGGUAUAAUUUUCUCUUUCUUGUAGAUGAUCUUAUGCGAACAUCUCAGCGGACACAGAAGAAAAUACAGAAAGGAAUUUCUCAUAGUAACCAAGAGCAUGACAGAAUUUUCAAUCUGAAAUAAACCCAUUGGAAAUUGGAUUCUCUUGAAAAAGAAGUCUAUUUUGGUGGAGAAUACAGACGAUGUGGAAUAAUCAAGUCAGGUGUUUCCAGAAGAACGAGUCACGCUUAUUAAAGCCAGUAUUGGAAGCCCAUAAAAAAAUGCUGGACUCUUUGCCUUCUCUGAUGCAGUGUGAUUUUGGAUUUUUCUCUCUACUACAUUAACCACACAUUCCUUAAAGAGUACUUAGAGUCCUGGGAAGGAUGUAAAAUGUCAACACUGAACUAAGAUCACAAACUUCCUGAAAUCAUAGCAAACGUGUUGUUAAGGAUCAAGCUGAAGAUGUACAAAUCAAAAACAAUACUUGAAACAUACUUUCAGCUUUUCAGUUCAUCCUAAAAAUUCAACUGUUACCCAAAAAUCAGGGCCACUGCACCUCCCUCCUCUUCUAGCUCCUUCUCUGAAGAGCUCAACGCACUUUCCAGACAUGACUUCAUUUACUCUCCCAGUCACUAACAGUGCGGGAGAGAGGAGCCGGAGCUUUUCUCUCCGUAUUACAUACUGAGGGAAAACAGCCUAGAAAGAAAUCAUGUUAGAGUACACAGAGCGUCUGGUGAAAGGGCCUGCACGCCCCUCAUCUCUUCUGGUUUGCAAAGGCAGUCUGCAGAAAGUGAAAGCUAAGAGAAAAAUGUCCA